Molecule: ribosomal RNA, 468 nt
Filed under: uncultured bacterium
Lineage: Bacteria
Description: partial 16S ribosomal RNA
Rfam family: Bacterial small subunit ribosomal RNA
Source: RNAcentral
GACGAACGCUGGCGGCGUGCUUAACACAUGCAAGUCGAACGGAAAGGCCCUGCUUUUGUGGGGUGCUCGAGUGGCGAACGGGUGAGUAACACGUGAGUAACCUGCCCUUGACUUUGGGAUAACUUCAGGAAACUGGGGCUAAUACCGGAUAGGAGCUCCUGCUGCAUGGUGGGGGUUGGAAAGUUUCGGCGGUUGGGGAUGGACUCGCGGCUUAUCAGCUUGUUGGUGGGGUAGUGGCUUACCAAGGCUUUGACGGGUAGCCGGCCUGAGAGGGUGACCGGCCAGAUUGGGACUGAGCUACGGCCCAGACUACUACGGGAGGCAGCAGUGGGGAAUAUUGCACAAUGGGCGGAAGCCUGAUGCAGCAACGCCGCGUGCGGGAUGACGGCCUUCGGGUUGUAAACCGCUUUCGCCUGUGACGAAGCGUGAGUGACGGUAAUGGGUAAAGAAGCACCGGCUAACUACGUG